GGUGAACGUUGGCGGCGCGUCUAACACAUGCAAGUCGAACGAGACCUUCGGGUCUAGUGGCGCACGGGUGCGUAACGCGUGGGAAUCUGCCCUUGGGUUCGGAAUAACUCAGAGAAAUUUGAGCUAAUACCGGAUGAUGACGUAAGUCCAAAGAUUUAUCGCCCAAAGGAUGAGCCCGCGUAAGAUUUAGCUUGUUGGUAGGGUAAUGGCCUACCAAGGCGACGAUCUUUAGCUGGUCUGAGAGGAUGAUCAGCCACACUGGGGACUGAGACACGGCCCAGACUCCUACGGGAGGCAGCAGUGGGGAAUAUUGGACAAUGGGCGAAAGCCUGAUCCAGCAAUGCCGCGUGAGUGAUGAAGGCC
RNAcentral lists this ribosomal RNA (363 nucleotides) under uncultured bacterium. RNAcentral's name for it is "bacterial SSU rRNA". It matches the Rfam family "Bacterial small subunit ribosomal RNA", at positions 28 to 416 of the family's 1533-position model. The record is from RNAcentral.